GACGAACGCUGGCGGCGUGCUUAACACAUGCAAGUCGAACGGUGAAGGGGUCUGCUUUUGUGGGCCCUGGAUGAGUGGCGAACGGGUGAGUAACACGUGAGUAACCUGCCCCCUUCUUCUGGAUAACCGCAUGAAAGUGUGGCUAAUACGGGAUAUUCUGGGUCUGUCGCAUGAUGGGUCUGGGAAAGAUUGCGCCUUUGGGUGUUGUUGGUGGGGGAUGGGCUCGCGGCCUAUCAGCUUGUUGGUGGGGUGAUGGCCUACCAAGGCGGUGACGGGUAGCCGGCCUGAGAGGGUGGACGGUCACACUGGGACUGAGACACGGCCCAGACUCCUACGGGAGGCAGCAGUGGGGAAUAUUGCACAAUGGGCGCAAGCCUGAUGCAGCGACGCCGCGUGAGGGAUGGAGGCCUUCGGGUUGUAAACCUCUUUCGCCAGUGAAGCAGGCCUGCUCCUUGUGGGUGGGUUGACGGUAGCUGGAUAAGAAGCGCCGGCUAACUACGUG
RNAcentral lists this ribosomal RNA (502 nucleotides) under uncultured bacterium. RNAcentral's name for it is "partial 16S ribosomal RNA". It matches the Rfam family "Bacterial small subunit ribosomal RNA", at positions 28 to 507 of the family's 1533-position model. The record is from RNAcentral.